CCUACGGGUGGCUGCAGUGGGGAAUUUUCCGCAAUGGGCGAAAGCCUGACGGAGCAAUACCGCGUGAGGGAUGAAUGCCUAUGGGUUGUAAACCUCUUUUUUCAGGGAGGAACAAAAUGACGUGUACCUGAAGAAUAAGCAUCGGCUAACUCCGUGCCAGCAGCCGCGGUAAGACGGAGGAUGCAAGUGUUAUCCGGAAUCACUGGGCGUAAAGCGUCUGUAGGUGGUUUAAUAAGUCAACUGUUAAAUCUUGAGGCUCAACCUCGAAAUCGCAGUCGAAACUAUUAGACUAGAGUAUAGUAGGGGUAAAGGGAAUUUCCAGUGGAGCGGUGAAAUGCGUAGAGAUUGGAAAGAACACCGAUGGCGAAGGCACUUUACUGGGCUAUUACUAACACUCAGAGACGAAAGCUAGGGUAGCAAAUGGGAUUAGAUACCCCGGUAGUC
This 444-nucleotide ribosomal RNA is filed under the name uncultured bacterium. RNAcentral describes it as "bacterial SSU rRNA". It matches the Rfam family "Bacterial small subunit ribosomal RNA", at positions 338 to 795 of the family's 1533-position model. The record is from RNAcentral.